GCCGUGGAUGCCGGUACACUCUUAAUCUUGGCUGAAAUGGAGGAAACGUCGUCGCGCAAUAGCGCUGUCUUCAUUUGAGGGAUGCUACAUCAUGAAUGGCACGCUGUUUGAUGCUUCUAAACAUCCCAAAGGAACUGGAUUUACAAGCGAACUGGUUUUGUUUUGUAAGAAUUGGUCCCAUAGGAACUCAAACUAAAAACAAUGGGGGUUUUGUAUUUUUAACAAUUGCCACUGUUUAUCUGCGUGGUCGAUGUGCUCUUAAUGUACAAUAAAGCAUGUGGGUUGGCUGACAUGGGAAAGGGGAAAUGUUAGUUUAGCUGUGGUGCAUUGUUUGGUAUGACUAAUUUGUCAUAGUGCUUUAAAAUCCUUUUGUGUUCUGUUUCUUUGAAUGUUAAAAAAAAAUAAAAAAAUAAAAUACA
Myxocyprinus asiaticus (Chinese sucker) is the source of this 419-nucleotide long non-coding RNA. RefSeq lists it as uncharacterized. The transcript has 2 exons. Lineage: Eukaryota; Metazoa; Chordata; Actinopteri; Cypriniformes; Catostomidae. The record is from RefSeq and is a predicted model, not a curated record.